GGAGAGAUGGCAGAGUGGUCGAAUGCGCGCGCCUCGAAAGCGUGUAACCCGAAAGGGUUCGGAGGUUCGAAUCCUCCUCUCUCCGCCA
RNAcentral lists this transfer RNA (88 nucleotides) under Candidatus Omnitrophota bacterium. RNAcentral's name for it is "Candidatus Omnitrophica bacterium (groundwater metagenome) tRNA-Ser". It matches the Rfam family "tRNA". Rfam says of the family: Transfer RNA (tRNA) molecules are approximately 80 nucleotides in length. Their secondary structure includes four short double-helical elements and three loops (D, anti-codon, and T loops). Further hydrogen bonds mediate the characteristic L-shaped molecular structure. tRNAs have two regions of fundamental functional importance: the anti-codon, which is responsible for specific mRNA codon recognition, and the 3' end, to which the tRNAs corresponding amino acid is attached (by aminoacyl-tRNA synthetases). tRNAs cope with the degeneracy of the genetic code in two manners: having more than one tRNA (with a specific anti-codon) for a particular amino acid; and 'wobble' base-pairing, i.e. permitting non-standard base-pairing at the 3rd anti-codon position. Lineage: Bacteria; Pseudomonadati; Candidatus Omnitrophota. The record is from RNAcentral.